Molecule: ribosomal RNA, 252 nt
Filed under: uncultured bacterium
Lineage: Bacteria
Description: partial 16S ribosomal RNA
Rfam family: Bacterial small subunit ribosomal RNA
Source: RNAcentral
UGCGUAGGUCCCGAGCGUUAUCCGGAUUUAUUGGGCGUAAAGCGAGCGCAGGUGGUUAGAUAAGUCUGAAGUGAAAGGCUGUGGCUUAACCAUAGUAUGCUUUGGAAACUGUUUAACUUGAGUGCAGAAGGGGAGAUUGGAAUUCCAUGUGUAGCGGUGAAAUGGGUAGAUAUAUGGAGGAACACCGGUGGCGAAAGCGGCUCUCUGAUCUGUAACUGACGCUGAGGCUCGAAAGCGUGGGGAGCAAACAGG